RNAcentral lists this ribosomal RNA (532 nucleotides) under uncultured fungus. RNAcentral's name for it is "SSU rRNA". It matches the Rfam family "Eukaryotic small subunit ribosomal RNA", at positions 109 to 644 of the family's 1831-position model. The record is from RNAcentral. Lineage: Eukaryota; Fungi.
GUCUAAAUAUACUUGAUAGUACCUUACUACUUGGAUAACCGUGGUAAUUCUAGAGCUAAUACAUGCUAAAAACCCAGACUUCGGAAUGGGUGUAUUUAUUAGAUAAAAAACCAAUGCCCUUCGGGGCUCCUUGGUGAUUCAUGAUAACUUAACGAAUCGCAUGGCCUUGUGCCGGCGAUGGUUCAUUCUAUAUUCUGCCCUAUCAACUUCCGAUGGUAGGAUAGUGGCCUACCAUGGUUUCAACGGGUAACGGGGAAUUAGGGUUCUAUUCCGGAGAGGGAGCCUGAGAAACGGCUACCACAUCCAAGGAAGGCAGCAGGCGCGCAAAUUACCCAAUCCCGACACGGGGAGGUAGUGACAAUAAAUACUGAUCUUGGGCCAUUUUUGGUCUAAGAAUUGGAAUGAGUACAAUUUAAAUCCCUUAACGAGGAACAAUUGGAGGGCAAGUCUGGUGCCAGCAGCCGCGGUAAUUCCAGCUCCAAUAGCGUAUAUUAAAGUUGUUGCAGUUAAAAAGCUCGUAGUUGAACCUUGG